RNAcentral lists this ribosomal RNA (500 nucleotides) under uncultured Glomeromycotina. Its description in RNAcentral is "partial small subunit ribosomal RNA". It matches the Rfam family "Eukaryotic small subunit ribosomal RNA", at positions 591 to 1092 of the family's 1831-position model. Lineage: Eukaryota; Fungi; Glomeromycota. The record is from RNAcentral.
CCAAUAGCGUAUAUUAAAGUUGUUGCAGUUAAAAAGCUCGUAGUUGAAUUUCGGGGUUAGUAGGUUGGUCAUGCUUCUGGUAUGUACUGGUCUUACUGAUUCCUCCUUCCUGAUGAGCCGUAAUGCCAUUAAUUUGGUGUUGCGGGGAAUUUGGACUGUUACUUUGAAAAAAUUAGAGUGUUUAAAGCAAGCUAAUGCUUGAAUACAUUAGCAUGGAAUAAUGAAAUAGGACGUUCGAUCCUAUUUUGUUGGUUUCUAGGAUUGACGUAAUGAUUAAUAGGGAGUGUUGGGGGCAUUAGUAUUCAAUUGUCAGAGGUGAAAUUCUUGGAUUUAUUGAAGACUAAGUACUGCGAAAGCAUUUGCCAAGGAUGUUUUCAUUAAUCAAGAACGAAGGUUAGGGGAUCGAAGACGAUCAGAUACCGUCGUAGUCUUAACCAUAAACUAUGCCGACUAGGGAUCGGAUGAUGUUAAUUUUUUAAUGACUCAUUCGGCGCCUUACG